GAAGCAGAAGCACAAGAAGCUUCUUAUCAAGAUUCAUGGAAUCCCUGCACUAUUUUGCAGCCAUGUUUGAUUCUUUAGAAGAUUGCCUUCCAUUAGAAAGCUCAGAGAGAUUAAGCAUAGAGAAGAACCAUCUUGGAAAAGGGAUCAAAAGCAGGCUCAACUAUGACAGAUGUAAUGAUACUGAUUCAAACUGUCCAAGAUAUGAGAAGAUGGAAGCAUGGAAGGGAAGGAUGGAGAGCCAUGGAUUCUCAGGCAUUAAACUAAGCUCCAAAUCUUUGAUUCAAGCCAAGCUCCUUUUGAAAAUUAGGAACCAUUAUAGCCCUCUUCAAUUUGAUGGAGGGAGCAGUAGUAGUGGGUUUAGAGUAUUUGAAAGAGAUGAUGGAAGAGCUAUUUCUCUAGGGUGGCAAGAUAGGUGUUUACUUACUGCCUCUGUAUGGCAUUGU
RNAcentral lists this unclassified non-coding RNA (443 nucleotides) under Hevea brasiliensis (rubber tree). Lineage: Eukaryota; Viridiplantae; Streptophyta; Magnoliopsida; Malpighiales; Euphorbiaceae. The record is from RNAcentral.